This 116-nucleotide ribosomal RNA is filed under the name Labrus bergylta (ballan wrasse). The record is from RNAcentral. Lineage: Eukaryota; Metazoa; Chordata; Actinopteri; Labriformes; Labridae.
GCUUACGGCCAUACCACCCUGAACACGCCCGAUCUCGGAUCUCGGAAGCUAAGCAGGGUCGGGCCUGGUUAGUACUUGGAUGGGAGACCGCCUGGGAAUACCAGGUGCUGUAAGCU